GGGGGUAUGGCGAAAUUGGUAGACGCUGCGGACUUGGCUUUAAAGACCGUGAGGGUUCAAGUCCCUCUACCCCCA
This 75-nucleotide transfer RNA is filed under the name Marchantia emarginata subsp. tosana. RNAcentral describes it as "Marchantia tosana tRNA-Leu". It matches the Rfam family "tRNA". From Rfam's summary of the family: Transfer RNA (tRNA) molecules are approximately 80 nucleotides in length. Their secondary structure includes four short double-helical elements and three loops (D, anti-codon, and T loops). The record is from RNAcentral. Lineage: Eukaryota; Viridiplantae; Streptophyta; Marchantiopsida; Marchantiales; Marchantiaceae.